UAAGGGGGUGGCAAGCGUUAUCCGGAAUUACUGGGCGUAAAGCGUCCGCAGGCGGCCUUGUAAGUCUGUCGUUAAAGCGUGGAGCUCAACUCCAUUUCAGCGAUGGAAACUCCAAGGCUUGAGUGUGGGAGGGGCAGAGGGAAUUCCGGGUGUAGCGGUGAAAUGCGUAGAUAUCGGGAAGAACACCAGUGGCGAAGGCGCUCUGCUGGGCCAUAACUGACGCUCAUGGACGAAAGCCAGGGGAGCGAAAGGG
RNAcentral lists this ribosomal RNA (253 nucleotides) under uncultured bacterium. RNAcentral's name for it is "partial 16S ribosomal RNA". It matches the Rfam family "Bacterial small subunit ribosomal RNA", at positions 524 to 776 of the family's 1533-position model. The record is from RNAcentral.